UUUCCUUCCUCCCUCCACUCUCCCCAUAUGGAAUUUCUUCUCCAAAUUACACCACUCAGAAAUGCAGGAUGGACAGUAUUCUGUUCUGGACCAAUAAGAGCCUGAAGGUUCAAUAUCUUCUUGCAUGUCAUCAGGAUGAGAGAGACAACACGGGUGAAAUAAUAUCUUUUAUUGGACUGACUUCUGUUUGUGAAAAAGGAAAAGUUUAAGCCAUGGGACUGAAAUCUUCCAAGUAGCUGUUUGGAAUAUCCAGGAAAAUGCCUGGAAAGACAUUAACAGACUUUACAUCUAAGCUGCAUUUGGAGUCUGACCUUUUAGGAUGAUUCCAGAGAGACUUUUGCAAGCCAGCAGACUCAUCCAUCGCUGCAACAAAUCUGAUGAACUGUUAGAUGACAUUUCUGAAGAUAUAAGAGAGCAAAAGCAAGAAGAUAUAAAUAUUAAAGAUACAUAAGAUAUAAGAUAGCAAACGCAAGAUUAAAACAGAAUAAGAUUAAAAGAGGAAUAAGGAAGUCAAAUGUCUGACAAGUGUAAGAGUUUUGAGUGAAAGGCUUGGAAUCUGCUUCCUUCUCCACACCAUUCCAGCAGUCUCCUUCCUGCUGCUUCUGUCUCACAGCCUGCUUCAGAGGCAGGUAUGCAGAGGAGGGACGGGAACCCAGAGAGGGACAAAGGACUCCCGCCUUAUGCAAAAGAUAUAUAAGUGGGUGGAACGGAACAAAAGAGGCUGCAAUCAUGAGCUACCACCUGAGCUGGAACAAGGACUGUACCAGGGGAAAGGAUUGUGCCCAGAGUAGGAAGGUGUCCAGUCUGUGAUAGAAGCUUAUUGAAACAUCUCUGAAGCAUCUGGCACCAGCCACUUCAGAAGACAAGAUGCAGGACUAGAUGGACCCCUGACCUGACCCAGAAUGGCCAUUCUUAUGUUCUUUAUGCUCAAAGAGCUCUCAUCUGCUUGGCACAAAAGAUCAACUGAACAUGAGUUGAACUCUAUGCAGAAUACUCUAAGCCAGAUCACAUGGCACUAAUUUCCCUGCCAUCCUGACUUAGUUUGGCCCUAUCACAUAAACUGAAGGCUGAAACUGAGGAAUAUUUAAGGCACUAAUUUUGAAACAGAUCCAUGAUCCUUUAACUGGCUGAAAGCCAAUGAUGAAGGUCUAAUUCAGAGAAAUGAACCUGCUAUCCUCACUGAAGAGUGUAAUAGUCCAGGCAAUCCUCAGAAAUCCAACAUGUAGUGCAAAAAAUCUCUCCAGCUACUGCCUUGUCUCCAGUUUCCCAUCCAAAGGCAAAGCCAUUGAGAAAAUAGCGGACAAAUCAGCUCUAACAACAUGUGCCAACAUGUGACAUCUGCCAACAUCUUGCAUCUCCAAAGUCCCAAAAGGAUAUACCCUGUUUUCCCUUUUGCUUAUAUUUAUGUGAUACAACCUGAAGCAGUUGUGAGAUGUCAUGGUCUUCAAUGUCAACAAUUUGUUUAUGAUAUCCAAGUGUAUCCUGGAUGAGACUAGAACAAAAUUAAGUGGAUAGCACAAGACAUUUAGUGAUAUAAUAGUUAUAAUCUAUUAAAAUUAAAAUAAUCUAGGUUUAUGUUUUUUAAUUAUUAGCUGUCACUAAUAAAUCCUACUUCACUACUUAUGCAUUUAUUUUAAAGAAUAUCUAUCUUGGUUGUGUUCACAUUUUGUUAUGAACAAUACACAAGAUUGAUAUAUCAAAAAGUACCAUUGAAAAUUAUUACAUGCAGGAGAAAAAAAUCUAGGCUCAUGAUGGGCCAAAAACAGUCAUCUGAUGUGUAAUCAUGUUUUUAUCCUUCACUUCUUCCCAAGGAACUGAACAAUAUAGGCAAAUGAGUUUAUCCUGAUUACCUGUCUCUGCACUCCUUGAAAACUACUAUUUAAUUCUGAUGAGCCAAUCAGAUAGCUUAUACACAUUUUUGCUUCUUGACAGACUCACUAGAGGUGAAUAUCAGCUUUUUCUGGAUCUUCAUCUUCAUCUCUUUAGAAUGUUAAUUUAAAGGGAGAAUUGAUGGAAACUGAAUACGUUAAAUGACUUUAGAUGAAGAGAUUUCCAAAUAGCUUAGAUAAAAGCAUUCUGAAUUUAUACAUAUACCGAUGUCACACUUGUUAUUGUGCCUAUUGUCUCAUCACCUUGGUCAGUCUUUUUACCCUUUGAAUCAAUAAAUCUUGAUAUUUACUUCAACAGCAAUCAAUAAGUGUUUUGACGAGCUUGUAAUUAAUGAGAUAAAGCUGCUGUACAAUUAGAUGGACACCAUGAAAUAAGUAUGGAGCACCAUUUACUAAAUCAGUGUUUUUUCAGAUACGUGAUUAUAUGAUUAAAUUAUAUGAUUUGUGACUAGUCACAUCUUUUAUAUGCAGAAGCAUGUCAGAAUGUGAACAGGCAGGAAAUAAAACAAAGAAAAUCUAAAGCAUAUGCAUUUCCAGUAAUAUAGAGAGAAAUAUACUGUGAUGUUCCAUAUAUGAAUUUUCAUUUACAGGCAUGCCAUGUUGAGAACCAAAGAGAGGUUAGAGUUCAUCUGACAAAGUGUUGAGGUGCUGGUUUUAGUGUAUGAUCAUAUUCAGAAAUAUGCUAAUCAAACAUGGGUGCUCACUAAUUAAAUUUACAAAUGAUUAGAAAUAUUUGCCACUGAAAGAUUUAAAGUCAUUUUUUGAAUCCUAAUGAAAGUUCCAACAUUAUGUGUAUGCCUCUUGAGGGCCUACUGAGGAUAAAGUGUAUUAAAAAUAUAAUUGGCUUUAAAGCAUGCUAGAUUAAGUUUUUGCCGUGAUUUAUGCUGUCUGCUUUGUAUUCACCUUUAGAGUUGUUUUUCCCUCUCUGAACCAUGUAUAUUGAUAGCUCAAAUGUAAGAUGCUAACAUCUGUUGAUUUGCUUAUAUUGCAUUGAUUAUUAUAAUGGCUGAAAAGUCUAUUAUUUGCACAUGAUCUUACUCAGAUCCUUGAAGCUGUGUUUUUAGCAAAAAAUGAUGUUUUCGACAAUGGCAAUACUUUGAAAAUAUUGUAUCUAAGAAAAAGAACAAAUGUGUGUUGUUCAAGGGUCAAUGAAGAAGUUGGUAAAAAUUAUGAAAAACUGUUAAGCUUUACAUUCUGGGAUGUUUUAGUAUUUCCCCUGAAUCCCAAUCAUUUCAUUUACAUAACACAAAAAAAAUCCUCAUGGAAUCAAAUUUAAAAUGUGAUCGAUUUAUUUUUUACUUGUGUUGAAAGUGGAUCUUAACAAAGAAUCCCCCAAAACACUUGCUUAUGAAAAACACCACAGAUUUGCCAAUUUUCCAUUGAUUGUAACUAACAGCACUUUGUGGUGUAUUCCUUUGAAGACACAUAUUAUAAAAGGGUCAAAGUUCUCAAGUAUAAAGUAGUUGGCAAGCAUUAUCAAUGGCGCCCUAGGCUGACCUGGUAUAUACUUGUGUGCAGAAUACAGCAGUAAAAGUAACCAGAUAGAUCAAAAUAAACACACAGAGAUUAACUGUCUAUGAAGGGUCAAUAUGAUAUAUUAACAUCUACUGGUGGUUACUAAAAUUUUUGAAUAAAGGUGAUGGAAAGGUGUUAGAAUGUUUUUGCAACUAGAAACAAAGCAUGGCUUUCAUGGAACUGUUUACUCAGCAUUGUAUCAUGAUUUUAAAAAAAAUGUCCAUUAAAUUGUAUAGCUAAUUGAGGAAAAACCAGAUGGCUGAAGGAAGGAAGGUAGGUAUGAGUAAUCUCUCUGCCUUGGAAGCUGUAUGAUAACAGCUAGUGCAAAAUUAUGGGCUCUGUAAACUUGUAGAUUGCAAUAUUUUUGUUCUUUCCAAUUUUUUCUAUGCAGUUGGAGUGUCACUGUUAGAAUGCACACCGGGAACAACAGCACUCUUUCCCCAGACUAAGCAGGCAUGUCAGAAAACUCUCCAUCUAGGGCCUGAUUCAAAACCCACUGAAGUCAG
Chrysemys picta bellii (western painted turtle) is the source of this 3910-nucleotide non-coding RNA. The record is from RefSeq and is a predicted model, not a curated record. NCBI's taxonomy places the organism in Eukaryota, Metazoa, Chordata, Testudines, Emydidae.